AAUAGAUACCCGGGUAGUCCACGCCGUAAACGAUGAAUACUGGGUGUAGGGGUUAUCAUGACCUCUGUGCCGCCGCUAACGCAUUAAGUAUUCCGCCUGGGGAGUACGGUCGCAAGAUUAAAACUCAAAGGAAUUGACGGGGGCCCGCACAAGCAGCGGAGCAUGUGGUUUAAUUCGAAGCAACGCGAAGAACCUUACCUAGACUUGACAUCUCCUGAAUUACUCUGUAAUGGAGGAAGCCCUUCGGGGCAGGAAGACAGGUGGUGCAUGGUUGUCGUCAGCUCGUGUCGUGAGAUGUUGGGUUAAGUCCCGCAACGAGCGCAACCCUUAUUGUUAGUUGCUACCAUUUAGUUGAGCACUCUAGCGAGACUGCCCGGGUUAACCGGGAGGAAGGUGGGGAUGACGUCAAAUCAUCAUGCCCCUUAUGUCUAGGGCUACACACGUGCUACAAUGGCCGGUACAGUAAGAUGCAAUACCGUGAGGUGGAGCAAAACUCAAAAACCGGUCUCAGUUCGGAUUGUAGGCUGAAACUCGCCUACA
Molecule: ribosomal RNA, 540 nt
Filed under: uncultured bacterium
Lineage: Bacteria
Description: bacterial SSU rRNA
Rfam family: Bacterial small subunit ribosomal RNA
Source: RNAcentral